GCACCGUGCUUUGAUCAGGUCCGCCAGGAUUAAACAGCUAACCGGAUAUAAAUAUUCUGGUGUCUGACGUAAUGACCUUUUUUUCGAAAAGGGGAUUCCCCGGCCUCUGCAUUAGAACGAUGCAUACGGCCAUGUUAAUAACCAAAUAAAGAAGUACCAACAUGAUUCCAAAGGUCUCCAAAAGUAAAAAAAAAAGUACAUAAAGCUCACACAGAGCCAAAUAAAGGCUAGAAACACCAACUAGCCAGGACAAGAUGCCACAACCGGCCGGCUCAAACUAGAUAGGGAAACUAAGUACCUAUCCUAUUACAUGACCGCCAUCCAAACCGGUUGAAGAUAUCCCGAGCUACCAUCUCCCAGCGGAAAGAUCCAGUAACCAAAUGCUCCCUGGCCUCCGUCUGGGUGAGUAGCGACCACGAACGGAUCAGUGCCGUAGUUCGGAAUAUGACCUGCAAAAAAUGUAUACAUGAUAUUCUGUUAAAGACCAAAUCAUUUCUGCAAGUCCAGAUAGUCCACAGCAAAGCACAAACUCCAACCCGAAUAUGUCUCGCUAAACCAGGCUCAAUCCCAUUAAGCCAAGUCCCAAAUAACGCAUUAACAGAAUUCGGUGGAUUGAUAUUAAAAGCAAUGUGGACUGUCUGCCAAAGUACCUUGGCCAACGGGCAAUCAAAAAAGAGGUGUUUGAUAGUCUCAUCCCGAUCGCAGAAACUACACCUAGUAGGUCUUGUUCAAUUACGCUUUUAUCAAGUUGUCCUUAGUUAAAAUAACUUGUUUAUGGACAAACCACAUAAACACUUUUAUUUUCAAAGGAACUUUGACAUCCCAAACAUGCUUAGACGUAGGAAUGGAGUCCGAAUUAAUAACAUCAAUAUACAUUGAUUUAACCGUGAAUACUCCAGACUUAGUCAAUUUCCAACGCAAUUCAUCGGGUUGUUGGGAAAGCUGGACAUCCGUCAGUCUCCUAACUAGACGGAGCCAUUCUUCCCAACGGUUGCCCGCUGGCGUUCGUCGGAACUGGAUAUUAAGGGGGGUAGACUGAAAGACCGAUGCGACGAAUACCUCACGUCGUUGAACAAUGCGGUACAAAGACGGAUAUUGGAUGGCCAGGGGUGUCCCGCCAAGCCAAGUAUCCUCCCAGAAACGUGUACUCGAGCCGUUUCCAAUCACAAACUUCGUCCUAUUAAAUAAGGCCUGUUUGACUUUCAUCAGGCCUUUUCAGAAAGGCGAAUCGGUCGGCCUGACUAUAACCUGGGACAGAGUUUUUGUCUGGAGGUACUUGCUGCGAAGGAUUUGAGCCCACAUAGCAUCAGUCUCCGAUGAGAGCUUCCACAGCCACUGUCUAAGAAGGCAUUUAUUCUUAACUUCUAGAUUCUCAAUACCUAGACCCCCUUGGUCUUUUGGUCUACAGAUGAUAUCCCAUUUAGCAAGCCGAUAUUUUUUUUAAGCUCAUCACCCUGCCAAAAGAAACGCGAUCGAUAGAAGUCCAGUCUCUUCCUAACACCAACUGGGACCUCAAAGAACGAUAGGAGAAACAUUGGCAUGCUCGUGAGCACUGAAUUAAUCAGGAUUAAUCGGCCUCCGUAUGAUAUGAGCUUACCCUUCCAGCAGCUCAGUUUUUUCUCAAAUCGGUCCUCAAUGCACUUCCACUCUCUGUUUGUCAGCCUACGAUGGUGGAUUGGAAUCCCCAGGUAGGAGAAGGGUAACUCUCCCAACUCGCACCCAAACAAUUGCCUAUAAGCAUCCUGUUCAUGUUUGGCCCUACCAAAACAGAACAGCUCGCUCUUAUGAAAGUUAAUCUUUAACCCGGUCAAUUGUUCGAAAAGGCAUAACACAAGCUUCAUAUUACUAGCCUUGGCCAAGUCAUGCUCCAUGAAGAUGAUUGUAUCAUCAGCGUACUGAAGGAUGGAUACACCUCCAUCAAUAAGAUGAGGUACCAAUCCACCUACUUGACCAUUUUCCUUAGCCCUUCCUAUCAAGAUUGCUAAGAUAUCCACCACAAUGUUAAACAAGAUAGGUGACAUCGGAUCUCCUUGUCUGAGGCCUUUAUGUGUCUGGAAGUAAUGACCUAUGUCAUCAUUAACUUUAAUUCCCACACUACCUUUUUGCGCAAAUGAUUCAACAUGUCGGCGCCAGGCCUCAUCAAAACCUUUCAUACACAAUGACUGUUGGAGGAAUGGCCAUUUGACCUUAUCAUACGCUUUCUCAAAAUCCACCUUAAAAAUUACACCAUCUAAUUUUUUGGAAUGGAUUUCAUGAAGUGUUUCAUGCAGGACGACCACCCCUUCAAGGAUAUUUCUGUCCAGCAUGAAAGCGGUUUGGGACUGUUGCACCACAGAAUACGCAAUCUGUGUGAGUCUGUUAGUCCCGACUGAAGGAAAUAUGCCCUAGAGGCAAUAAUAAAGAUAUUAUUUAUUUCCUUAUAUCACGAUAAAUGUUUAUUAUUCAUGCUAGAAUUGUAUUAACCGGAAACAUAAUACAUGUGUGAAUACAUAGACAAACAAAGUGUCACUAGUAUGCCUCUACUUGACUAGCUCGUUAAUCAAAGAUGGUUAUGUUUCCUAACCAUGGACAAAGAGUUGUCAUUUGAUUAACGGGAUCACAUCAUUAGUUGAAUGAUCUGAUUGACAUGACCCAUUCCACUAGCUUAGCACCCGAUCGUUUAGUAUGUUGCUAUUGCUUUCUUCAUGACUUAUACAUGUUCCUAUGACUAUGAGAUUAUGUAACUCCCAUGUGCCGGAGGAACACUUUGUGUGCUACCAAACGUCACAACGUAACUGGGUGAUUAUAAAGGUGCUCUACAGGUGUCUCCAAAGGUACAUGUUGGGUUGACGUAUUUCGAGAUUAGGAUUUGUCACUCCGAUUGUCGGAGAGGUAUCUCUGGGCCCUCUCGGUAAUGCACAUCACUUAAGCCUUGCAAGCAUUACAACUAAUGAGUUAGUUGCGGGAUGAUGCAUUAAGGAACGAGUAAAGAGACUUGCCGAUAACGAGAUUGAAGUAGGUAUUGGAUACCGACAAUUGAAUCUCGGGCAAGUAACAUACCGAUGACAAAGGGAACAACGUAUGUUGUUAUGCGGUCUGACCAAUAAAGAUCUUCGUAGAAUAUGUAGGAGCCAAUAUGGGCAUCCAGGUCCCGCUGUUGGUUAUUGUCCGAAGACGUGUCUCGGUCAUGUCUACAUUGUUCUCGAACCGUAGGGUCCGCACGCUUAAAGUUACGAUGACAGUUUCAUUAUGAGUUUAUGUAUUUUUAUGUACCGAAGGUUGUUCGGAGUUCCGGAUGUGAUCACGGACAUGACGAGGAGUCUCGAAAUGGUCGAGACAUAAAGAUUGAUAUAUUCGGACACCGGAAGUGUUUCGGGGAAGUUUCGGAUAAAACCGGAGAACCGGGGGGUUACCGGAACCCCCUGAGGGGUUAAUGGGCCUCAUGGGCCUAAAGUGGAGAAGAGGAAAGGCAGCCAGGGUAGGCCGCGCGCCCCCUCUCCCCCUAGUCCGAAUUGGACAAGGAGGGAGGGGUGGCGCCCCCCUUUCCUUCCUCUCCUCUCUCGCUUCCUUCCCCCUCUCCUCCUUGGACAAGGAAAGGGAGGGGAGUCCUACUCCCAGUAGGAGUAGGACUCCUCCUGCGCGCCUCCUACUAGGGUCGGCCGCACCCCCCCUUGGCUCCUUUAUAUACGGGGGCAAGGGGGCACCCUAGGACACAGAAGUUGAUCUUCGUGAUCGUUACUUAGCCGUGUGCGGUGCCACCCUCCACGAUAUUACACCUCGAUCGUAUUGUAGCGGUGCUUAGGCGAAGCCCUACGACGGUUAAACAUCAAGAUAGUCACUACGCCGUCGUGCUGACGAAACUCCUCCACCGAAGCUUUGCUGGAUCGGAGCCCCGGGUGCGUCAUCGAGCUGUACGUGUGUUAAGAACUCGGAGGUGCCGGAGUAACGGUGCUUGGAUCGGUUGGACCGGGAAGACGUACGACUACUUCCUCUACGUUGUGUCAACGCUUCCGCGUCGAUCUACAAGGGUACGUAGAUCACACUCUCCCCUCUCAUUGCUAUGCAUCACCAUGAUCUUGCGUGUGCGUAGGAAAUUUUUUGAAAUUACUACGUUACCCAACAGUGGCAUCCGAGCCUAGGUUUUAUGGUUUGAUGUUAUUUGCACGAGUAGAACACAAGUGAGUUGUGGGCGAUAUAAGUCAUACUGCCUACCAACAUGUCAUACUUUGGUUCGGUUGUAUUGUUGGAUGAAGCGGCCCGGACCGACAUUACGCGUACGCUUACGCGAGACUGGUUCUACCGCCGUGCUUUGCACACAGGUGGUUGGCGGGUGUCAGUUUCUCCAACUUUAGUUGAACCAAGUGUGGCUACGCCCGGUCCUUACGAAGGUUAAAACGGCAUCAACUUGACAAACUAUCGUUGUGGUUUUGAUGCGUAGGUAAGAUUGGUUCUUGCUUAAGCCCGUAGCAGCCACGUAAAACUUGCAACAAACAAAGUAGAGGACGUCUAACUUGUUUUUGCAGGGCAUGUUGUGAUGUGAUAUGGUCAAGACAUGAUGCUAAAUUUUAUUGUAUGAAAUGAUCAUGUUUUGUAACCGAGUUAUCGGCAACUGGCAGGAGCCAUAUGGUUGUCGCUUUAUUGUAUGCAAUGCAAUCGCGCUGUAAUGCUUAACUUUAUCACUAAGCGGUAGUGAUAGUCAUGGAAGCAUAAGAUUGGUGAGACGACAACGGUGCUACGAUGGAGAUCAAGGUGUCGCGCCGGUGACGAUGGUGAUCAUGACGAUGCUUCGGAGAUGGAGAUCACAGGCACAAGAUGAUGAUGGCCAUAUCAUAUCACUUAUAUUGAUUGCAUGUGAUGUUUAUCUUUUAUGCAUCUUAUCUUGCUUUGAUUGACGGUAGCAUUAUAAGAUGAUCUCUCACUAAAUUAUCAAGAAGUGUUCUCCCUGAGUAUGCACCGUUGCGAAAGUUCUUCGUGCUGAGACACCACGUGAUGAUCGGGUGUGAUAGGCUCUACGUUCAAAUACAACGGGUGCAAAACAGUUGCACACGCGGAAUACUCGGAUUAUACUUGACGAGCCAAGCAUAUACAGAUAUGGCCUCGGAACACGGAGACCGAAAGGUCGAGCGUGAAUCAUAUAGUAGAUAUGAUCAACAUAGUGAUGUUCACGAAUGAAACUAGUCCAUCUCAUGUGAUGAUCGGACAUGGUUUAGUUGAUUUGGAUCACGUGAUCACUUAGACGGACUGGGUCCGUAACUUGAGGAUUAUCCUCAUUGCUGCACAGAAGAAUUACGUCCUGGAAGCACCGCUAGAUGCCAGGCCUACUGCUGGAGCAACACCAGAUGUUAUGAACGUCUGGCAGAGCAAAGCUGAUGACUACUUGAUAGUUUAGUGUGCCAUGCUUUACGGCUUAGAAUCGGGACUUCAACGACGUUUUGAACGUCAUGGAGCAUAUGAGAUGUUCCAGGAAUUGAAGUUAAUAUUUCAAGCAAAUGCCCGAAUUGAGAGAUAUGAAGUCUCCAAUAAGUUCUGUAGCUGCAAGAUGGAGGAGAACAGUUCUGUCAGUGAGCAUAUACUCAAAAUGUCUGGGUAUAAUAAUCACUUGAUUCAGAUGGGAGUUAAUCUUCCAGAUGAUUGCGUCAUUGACAGAAUUCUCCAAUCACUGCCACCAAGCUACAAGAGCUUCGUGAUGAACUAUAAUAUGCAAGGGAUGAAUAAGACUAUUCCCGAGCUCUUCGCAAUGCUGAAAGCUGCGAAGGUAGAAAUCAAAAAGGAGCAUCAAGUGUUGAUGGUCAACAAGACCACUAGUUUCAAGAAAAAAGGCAAAGCGAAGAAGAAGGGGAACUUCAAGAAGAACAGCAAGCAAGUUGCUGCUCAAGAGAAGAAACCCAAGUCUGGACAUAAGCCUGAAACUGAGUGCUUCUACUGCAAGCAGACUGGUCACUGGAAGCGGAACUGCCCCAAGUAUUUGGCGGAUAAGAAGGAUGGCAAGGUGAACAAAGGUAUAUGUGAUAUACAAGUUAUUGAUGUGUACCUUACUAAUGCUCGCAGUAGCACCUGGGUAUUUGAUACUGGUUCUAUUGCUAAUAUUUGCAACUCGAAACAGGGACUACGGAUUAAGAGAAGAUUGGCUAAGGACGAGGUGACGAUGCGCGUGGGAAACGGUUCCAAAGUUGAUGUGAUCGCGGUCGGCACGCUACCUCUACAUCUACCUUCAGGAUUAGUAUUAGACCUGAAUAAUUGUUAUUUGGUGCCAGCGUUGAGCAUGAACAUUAUAUCUGGAUCUUGUUUAAUGCGAGACGGUUAUUCAUUUAAAUCAGAGAAUAAUGGUUGUUCUAUUUAUAUGAGUAAUAUCUUUUAUGGUCAUGCACCCUUGAAGAGUGGUCUAUUCUUAUUGAAUCUCGAUAGUAGUGACACACAUAUUCAUAAUGUUGAAGCCAAAAAAUGCAGAGUUGAUAAUGAUGGUGCAACUUAUUUGUGGCACUGCCGUUUAGGUCAUAUCGGUGUAAAGCGCAUGAAGAAACUCCAUACUGACGGACUUUUGGAACCACUUGAUUAUGAAUCACUUGGUACUUGCGAACCGUGCCUCAUGGGCAAGAUGACUAAAACACCGUUCUCCGGUACUAUGGAGAGAGCAACAGAUUUGUUGGAAAUCAUACAUACAGAUGUAUGUGGUCCGAUGAAUAUUGAGGCUCGUGGCGGAUAUCGUUAUUUUCUCACCUUCACAGAUGACUUAAGCAAAUAUGGGUAUGUCUACUUAAUGAAACAUAAGUCUAAAACAUUUGAAAAGUUCAAAGAAUUUCAGAGUGAAGUUGAAAAUCAUCGUAACAAGAAAAUAAAGUUUCUACGAUCUGAUCGUGGAGGAGAAUAUUUGAGUUAUGAGUUUGGUGUACAUUUGAAACAAUGCGGAAUAGUUUCGCAACUCACGCCACCCGGAACACCACAACGUAAUGGUGUGUCCGAACGUCGUAACCAUACUUUACUAGAUAUGGUGCGAUCUAUGAUGUCUCUUACUGAUUUACCGCUAUCGUUUUGGGGUUAUGCUUUAGAGACGGCCGCAUUCACGUUAUAUAGGGCACCAUCAAAAUCCGUUGAGACGACGCCUUAUGAACUAUGGUUUGGCAAGAAACCAAAGUUGUCGUUUCUGAAAGUUUGGGGCUGCGAUGCUUAUGUGAAAAAGCUUCAACCUGAUAAGCUCGAACCCAAAUCAGAGAAAUGUGUCUUCAUAGGAUAUCCAAAGGAAACUAUUGGAUACACCUUCUAUCACAGAUCCGAAGGCAAGACUUUUGUUGCUAAAUUGGGAAACUUUCUAGAGAAGGAGUUUCUCUCGAAAGAUGUGAGUGGGAGGAAAGUAGAACUUGAUGAGGUAACUGUACCUGCUCCCUUAUCGGAAAGUAGUACAUCACAGAAAACUAUUUCUGCGACACCUACACCAAUUAGUGAGGAAGCUAAUGAUAAUGAUCAUGAAACUUCAGGACAAGAUACUACUGAACCUCGUAGAUCAACCAGAGUGAGAUCCGCGCCAGAGUGGUACGGUAAUCCUGUUCUGGAAAUCACGCUGCUAGAUCAUGAUGAACCUACGAACUAUGAAGAAGCGAUGGUGAGCCCAGAUUCCGCAAAAUGGCUUGAAGCCAUGAAAUCCGAGAUGGGAUCCAUGUAUGAGAACAAAGUAUGGACUUUGGUUGACUUGCCCGAUGAUCGGCAAGCAAUUGAGAAUAAAUGGAUCUUCAAGAAGAAGACUGACGCUGACGGUAAUAUUACUGUCUACAAAGCUCGACUUGUCGCAAAAGGUUUUCGAUAAGUUCAAGGGGUUGACUACGAUGAGACCUUCUCACCCGUAGCGAUGCUUAAGUCUGUCCAAAUCAUGUUAGCAAUUGCCGCAUUUUAUGAUUAUGAGAUUUGGCAGAUGGAUGUCAAAACUGCAUUCCUGAAUGGAUUUCUGGAAAAAGAGUUGUAUAUGAUGCAACCGGAAGGUUUUGUCGAUCCAAAGGGAGCUAACAAAGUGUGCAAGCUCCAGCGAUCCAUUUAUGGACUGGUGCAAGCCUCUCGGAGUUGGAAUAAACGCUUUGAUAGUGUGAUCAAAGCAUUUGGUUUUAUACAGACUUUCGGAGAAGCCUGUAUUUACAAGAAAGUGAGUGGGAGCUCUGUAGCAUUUCUGAUAUUAUAUGUAGAUGACAUAUUACUGAUUGGAAAUGAUAUAGAAUUUCUGGAUAGCAUAAAGGGAUACUUGAAUAAGAGUUUUUCAAUGAAAGACCUCGGUGAAGCUGCUUACAUAUUAGGAAUAAAGAUCUAUAGAGAUAGAUCAAGACGCUUAAUUGGACUUUCACAAAGCACAUACCUUGACAAGAUUUUGAAGAAGUUCAAAAUGGAUCAAGCAAAGAAAGGGUUCUUGCCUGUGUUACAAGGUGUGAAGUCGAGUCAGACUCAAUGCCCGACCACUGCAGAAGAUAGAGAGAAAAUGAAAGAUGUUCCCUAUGCUUCAGCCAUAGGCUCUAUCAUGUAUGCAAUGCUGUGUACCAGACCUGAUGUGUGCCUUGCUAUAAGUUUAGCAGGGAGGUACCAAAGUAAUCCAGGAGUGGAUCACUGGACAGCGGUCAAGAACAUCCUGAAAUACCUGAAAAGGACUAAGGAUAUGUUUCUCGUAUAUGGAGGUGACAAAGAGCUCAUCGUAAACGGUUACGUUGAUGCAAGCUUUGACACUGAUCCGGACGAUUCUAAAUCGCAAACCGGAUACGUGUUUACAUUAAACGGUGGAGCUGUUAGUUGGUGCAGUUCUAAACAAAGCGUCGUGUCGAAAGCAGCAAACGAAGGAGUCUGGAUGAAGGAGUUCAUAUCCGAUAUAGGUGUCAUACCUAGUGCAUCGGGUCCAAUGAAAAUCUUUUGUGACAAUACUGGUGCAAUUGCCUUGGCAAAGGAAUCCAGAUUUCACAAAAGAACCAAGCACAUCAAGAGACGCUUCAAUUCCAUCCGGGAUCUAGUCCAGGUGGGAGACAUAGAGAUUUGCAAGAUACAUACGGAUCUGAAUGUGGCAGACCCGUUGACUAAGCCUCUUCCACGAGCAAAACAUGAUCAGCACCAAGGCUCCAUAGGUGUUAGAAUCAUUACUGUGUAAUCUAGAUUAUUGACUCUAGUGCAAGUGGGAGACUGAAGGAAAUAUGCCCUAGAGGCAAUAAUAAAGAUAUUAUUUAUUUCCUUAUAUCAUGAUAAAUGUUUAUUAUUCAUGCUAGAAUUGUAUUAACCGGAAAGAUAAUACAUGUGUGAACACAUAGACAAACAAAGUGUCACUAGUAUGCCUCUACUUGACUAGCUCGUUAAUCAAAGAUGGUUAUAUUUCCUAACCAUGGACAAAGAGUUGUCAUUUGAUUAACGGGAUCACAUCAUUAGUUGAAUGAUCUGAUUGACAUGACCCAUUCCACUAGCUUAGCACCCGAUCGUUUAGUAUGUUGCUAUUGCUUUCUUCAUGACUUAUACAUGUUCCUAUGACUAUGAGAUUAUGUAACUCCCGUGUGCCGGAGGAACACUUUGUGUGCUACCAAACGUCACAACGUAACUGGGUGAUUAUAAAGGUGCUCUACAGGUGUCUCCAAAGGUACAUGUUGGGUUGACGUAUUUCGAGAUUAGGAUUUGUCACUCCGAUCGUCGGAGAGGUAUCUCUAGGCCCUCUCGGUAAUGCACAUCACUUAAGCCUUGCAAGCAUUGCAACUAAUGAGUUAGUUGCGGGAUGAUGCAUUAAGGAACGAGUAAAGAGACUUGCCAGUAACGAGAUUGAACUAGGUAUUGGAUACCGACAAUCGAAUCUCGGGCAAGUAACAUACCGAUGACAAAGGGAACAACGUAUGUUGUUAUGCGGUCUGACCAAUAAAGAUCUUCGUAGAAUAUGUAGGAGCCAAUAUGGGCAUCCAGGUCCCGCUGUUGGUUAUUGACCGGAGACGUGUCUCGGUCAUGUCUACAUUGUUCUCGAACCGUAGGGUCCGCACGCUUAAAGUUACGAUGACAGUUUCAUUAUGAGUUUAUGCAUUUUGAUGUACCGAAGGUUGUUCGGAGUCCCGGAUGUGAUCACGGACAUGACGAGGAGUCUCGAAAUGGUCGAGACAUAAAGAUUGAUAUAUUCGGACACCAGAAGUGUUUCGGGGAAGUUUCGGAUAAAACCGGAGAACCGGGGGGUUACCGGAACCCCCCGGGGGUUAAUGGGCCUCAUGGGCCUAAAGUGGAGAAGAGGAAAGGCAGCCAGGGCAGGCCGCGCGCCCCCUCUCCCCCUAGUCCGAAUUGGACAAGGAGGGAGGGGCGGCGCCCCCCUUUCCUUCCUCUCCUCUCUCCCUUCCUUCCCCCUCUCCUACUUGGACAAGGAAAGGGAGGGGAGUCCUACUCCGAGUAGGAGUAGGACUCCUCCUGCGCGCCUCCUACUAGGGCCGGCCGCACCCCCCCCUUGGCUCCUUUAUAUACGGGGGCAAGGGGGCACCCUAGGACACAGAAGUUGAUCUUCGUGAUCGUUACUUAGCCGUGUGCGGUGCCCCCCUCCACGAUAUUACACCUCGAUCGUAUUGUAGCGGUGCUUAGGCGAAGCCCUACGACGGUUAAACAUCAAGAUAGUCACCACGCCGUCGUGCUGACGAAACUUCUCCACCGAAGCUUUGCUGGAUCGGAGCCCCGGGUGCGUCAUCGAGCUGUACGUGUGUCAAGAACUUGGAGGUGCCGGAGUAACGGUGCUUGGAUCGGUUGGACCGGGAAGACGUACGACUACUUCCUCUACGUUGCGUCAACGCUUCCGCGUCGAUCUACAAGGGUACGUAGAUCACACUCUCCCCUCUCGUUGCUAUGCAUCACCAUGAUCUUGCAUGUGCGUAGGAAUUUUUGUUAAAUUACUACAUUACCCAACACCGACCUUGGUGAAAAUUUUGAAACUAACAUUGAGGAGACAGAUCGGCCUGAAUUGCUCAAUUCUCACAGCAUCCGUCUUUUUAGGAAGCAGUGUGAUAGUCCCAAAAUUCAAGUGAAAUAAUUGAAGCUGUCCGAAAAACAGAUCAUGGAACAUAGGUGGUAAAUCCCCCUUAAUAAUGUGCCAGCACUUUUUAUAGAACUCUGCCGGGAAUCCAUCGGUCCGGGAGCCUUGUUGUUUUUCAUCUGUGCAAUACCAUCAAAAACCUCCUUCUCCGAAAACAGGGCAACCAGAAUAUCAUUAUCAGCAGCUGAUAGCUGAGGUACGUUCUCAGUCCUGGACUCAUCGAGGGACACACAAUUAUCCUCCGGAGGUCCAAAUAACUGCUUAUAAUAGUCGGUAAUAUAUGUUUUUAGGUUAUCCUGACCUAAAAUAGUGCCCUCGUCUUGCUCAAGCUGAAAGAUACGCUUCUUUUUGUGCUUGCCAUUAGCUAUCAAAUGGAAGAACUGAGUGUUCGCAUCCCCUUGGACCACUUUGCGGACUUUGGCACGCAAAGCCCACUUCAAUUCUUGUUCGCGAAACAGUUCUUUCAGCCUCUUCUCCGCCUCAUUUCUAGCCUGAAGCUGAGCUGGCGACAAGAUAUUGACUUCGGCCUAUAUGUCCAGGGCCUGUAUAAGAGUAAGGAGUCUAUCCUUUUCAAUCUUAUACACACCACUGAGGUUCUUAGCCCAACCCCGUAAGAAACUUCUUAAAUGCCUAAUCUUAUUCUGCCAACGCUCUAUCGCAUUCUUGCCUCCUACACCUCUAUCCCAUUCCCUGGCGAUCAAGUCCAAGAACCCCUCACAUUCAAACCAACACAUCUCGAAGGAGAAGGUAUUCUUGUUACCCUCAUGGUUCGGCUCCCCUGAGUCCACGAACAAUGGGGUGUGAUCAGAUAUUCCCCUCGAAAGAGCUUGCACCGUAACCAUAGGGAACUUUUGUUCCCACUCCACGCUCGCAAGUACUCGAUCAAGUUUUUCAUAGGUUGGGUUUGGUAGAGCAUUAGCCCAGGUGAACUUUCUCCCAGAAAGCUCUAUCUCUCUCAGAUCCAAGCUUUCAAUAAUGGUGUUGAACAUAAACGACCAUCUGCCAUCAAAGUUAUCAUUGUUCUUCUCCUCUCUCCUCCUGAUGAUAUUGAAAUCACCUCCAACUAAAAUUGGAAGCUGUUCUGACCCACAGAUUCGAACAAGGUACGCCAGAAACUCCGCUUUAAGUUCAGGCUGUGAGGCACCAUAAACCGCCACCAAAGCCCAGUUAAAACCAUCUACCCUAGACCUGACUCGAAACUUGACCACGAAGUCUCCCAUCACGACACUUCGGACUUCAAGCGAAUCGCAUCUCACACCUAGUAAGAUACCACCCGAUCUUCCUCGCGAAGGGAGGCAAUGCCAAUCGAAAUCAAUACCACCCACAAGAGAAGAGAGAAACUGGGGCGCAAAGUUUUCUCUACCCGUCUCUGAUAGAGCAACAAAAUCUAACCUCUGCUCUAGAGCUGCCUCAGCUAGGAAUCUUCUUUUAGCCAAGUCCUUCAGACCUCUGCUAUUCCAAAAAAUUCCACUCAUAGUUCAUCAUGGAAUUUUUUACUAACUCGAAUCCUAGCACUCCUAUGAACUACGGAAUCUGGAUAGAUCUUCCGUUUCCACUUACGCUUAGGUUUACUAGGCUCAGUCACCCGGUCCUCAUAACCGGGUUCACAUAUAUUGCUAGCCUCAUUCUCUAGGGGUACAUCAUCUUCCUCAGAGUCAUGAUUGGGGCGUGCUAGAUCCGCACACAGAUUAUCGAGCACUCUAACCCCUAACGCAUCAAUCUCAUCAUCAUUCAUGACGUAAUGACCUGAUCAUCGUCUUUCAAACAAUUUUCCGCGAUAAGUUGGGCAUGAAACAGGAUGGGCCGCUUUGAUGCCAGGACAAUCAUUUUAGGUUUUUUAGGCUUAUGCCCUUGGUUGGUUCCCACUACUCUUAGAUUUCGGACCUACACAGUUUUACCCUUGUUUCAAUAUAAAACCAUUU
Molecule: long non-coding RNA, 12900 nt
Filed under: Triticum aestivum (bread wheat)
Lineage: Eukaryota; Viridiplantae; Streptophyta; Magnoliopsida; Poales; Poaceae
Description: long non-coding RNA (TAES_LNC014192)
Source: RNAcentral